Molecule: long non-coding RNA, 553 nt
Organism: Herpailurus yagouaroundi (jaguarundi)
Lineage: Eukaryota; Metazoa; Chordata; Mammalia; Carnivora; Felidae
Exons: 2
Source: RefSeq, a predicted model, not a curated record
AAAGUUCCCAUCAUAGUUGUUUUAGGAACUUACUACUCAGAGUGUGUCCUGUGGAGCAGCCUCAUUUUCAUGACCUGGGAGCUUGAGCAGAAGAAUCUCAUGCCCUGCCACAGACUUAGUGAAAUAGAAUCUGCAUUUUAUCAAGGCCCCUAGGUAGCAUGAAUGCACAUUGUUUGAGAAGCACCCAAACUAUGUGCCCCAAAUAGAUGGCAAAUCCUUGGGAAUUUGGUUUAUAGCGCAUAGUUGGUGAUUUCCACUGUCUUAUUUAUGAAGCUUUUUGGAUACAUGUUUUAACAUGUUUUUUUAGUAUGUACCCUAAUCCAUACACAUUUGUUGUACUAAUAAGUAUGUGCGUGUACCGGUGAACAGUUAUUAGGUACAUUAUAAGGCAUACAUCAAAACGAAUUUUAAGCUGAGCUGAAGGUGCAGUAAGUAUUAUUUUAAAAUUUGUUGGUAAGCACGGUGAUGUCACACGAUCAUUAGCUAACAUCAAAGCAUGAUGUAUGUUGAGGAUGAAACUUACCAUUAAUAAACAGUCCAUAUUUUGAAUAUU